Molecule: unclassified non-coding RNA, 339 nt
Filed under: Clostridioides difficile
Lineage: Bacteria; Bacillati; Bacillota; Clostridia; Peptostreptococcales; Peptostreptococcaceae
Description: 16S-23S ribosomal RNA intergenic spacer
Source: RNAcentral
ACCUACUGUUUAAUUUUGAGGGUUCGUUUUUACGAAUACUCAAAAUUAGCACUUUAAGCAACAGAAUAAACUGAACGCAUGUGAAGUUUGUUUGUUGGCGCUGUGCGUUAGCACUUUAAGUAACGGAAUAAUCUGAGUGAAUACGAAGGUUGUUCGUUGACGUGGUGCGUUAGCACUUUAAGCAACUGGAUUUAUCCGUUGGCGCCGUGCUUUAGCACUUUGAAAACUGCAUAUAUAUUUAGUGAUAUGACAUCUAAUUUGUAAUAUAUAAAGCUGAUAACUUUUUAAAAUUAUCGAAGUUGAUAGCUUCUAAUCUAUCAAACCUUUUUAACUGGUCAA